This 1214-nucleotide ribosomal RNA is filed under the name uncultured fungus. RNAcentral describes it as "eukaryotic LSU rRNA". The stretch from base 568 to 1214 matches the Rfam family "Eukaryotic large subunit ribosomal RNA", at positions 1 to 667 of the family's 3401-position model. The record is from RNAcentral. Lineage: Eukaryota; Fungi.
CUUGGUCAUUUAGAGGAAGUAAAAGUCGUAACAAGGUUUCCGUAGGUGAACCUGCGGAAGGAUCAUUACCGAGUCGAGGGUCCCAGCGGCCCGAACCUCCCACCCCUUGCUGACAUACUGCGUUGCUUUGGCGGGGCAGCGCCCGGGCCUCGGUCCCCGCGCCACCAGCUCCGGCUGGCGAGCCCCCGUCAGAGUCCACCCAAACCCGAUUCAAUUUUAAGUCUGAGUGAAAAAUCAAUAGCUAAAAACUUUCAACAACGGAUCUCUUGGUUCUGGCAUCGAUGAAGAACGCAGCGAAAUGCGAUAAGUAAUGUGAAUUGCAGAAUUCAGUGAAUCAUCGAAUCUUUGAACGCACAUUGCGCCCUCUGGUAUUCCGGGGGGCAUGCCUGUUCGAGCGUCAUUUGCACCCUCAAGUAUGACUUGGUGUUGGGCACCCGCUUCCCCCUCGGGGGAGGCCACCCGAAUGGCAAUGGCGGUUCCCCCGGGAGCUCAGCGUAGUAACUUUUCGUCGCCGAGUAAUCCCCCGGGAUCCAGCCGGGCAACCGCCCGAACCCAUCUUUCAAUGGUUGACCUCGGAUCAGGUAGGGAUACCCGCUGAACUUAAGCAUAUCAAUAAGCGGAGGAAAAGAAACCAACAGGGAUUGCCUCAGUAACGGCGAGUGAAGCGGCAACAGCUCAAAUUUGAAAUCUGGCCCUCGGGUCCGAGUUGUAAUUUGUAGAGGAUGUCUCGGGGACGGCACCGGUCUAAGUUCCUUGGAACAGGACGUCACAGAGGGUGAGAAUCCCGUACGUGCCCGGCCGCCAACUCCAUGUGAGGCGCCUUCGACGAGUCGAGUUGUUUGGGAAUGCAGCUCAAAAUGGGUGGUAAAUUUCAUCUAAAGCUAAAUACCGGCCAGAGACCGAUAGCGCACAAGUAGAGUGAUCGAAAGAUGAAAAGCACUUUGGAAAGAGAGUUAAACAGUACGUGAAAUUGUUGAAAGGGAAGCGCUUGCAGCCAGACUUGCCCGCGGAUGAUCAGCCGUCCUUCGGGGCGGUGCACUCUUCCACGGUCAGGCCAGCAUCGGUUCCCGCGGCGGGACAAAGGCCCAGGGAACGUAGCUCCCCUCGGGGAGUGUUAUAGCCCGGGUGCAAUGCCGCCAGUGGGGACCGAGGACCGCGCUUUUGCUAGGAUGCUGGCGUAAUGGCUGUCAGCGACCCGUCUUGAAACACGGACC